AUUGAACGCUGGCGGCAUGCCUAACACAUGCAAGUCGAGCGAGCAGAUCCCUUCGGGGUGAAGCUAGCGGCGGACGGGUGAGUAACACGUGGGCAACCUGCCUCAUAGAGGGGAAUAGCCUUCCGAAAGGAAGAUUAAUACCGCAUAAGAUUGUAGCUUCGCAUGAAGUAGCAAUUAAAGGAGCAAUCCACUAUGAGAUGGGCCCGCGGCGCAUUAGCUAGUUGGUGAGGUAACGGCUCACCAAGGCGACGAUGCGUAGCCGACCUGAGAGGGUGAUCGGCCACAUUGGGACUGAGACACGGCCCAGACUCCUACGGGAGGCAGCAGUGGGGAAUAUUGCACAAUGGGGGAAACCCUGAUGCAGCAAUGCCGCGUGAGUGAUGACGGCCUUCGGGUUGUAAAGCUCUGUCUUCGGGGACGAUAAUGACGGUACCCGAGGAGGAAGCCACGGCUAACUACGUGCCAGCCGCCGCCGUAA
RNAcentral lists this ribosomal RNA (478 nucleotides) under uncultured bacterium. Its description in RNAcentral is "partial 16S ribosomal RNA". It matches the Rfam family "Bacterial small subunit ribosomal RNA", at positions 30 to 523 of the family's 1533-position model. The record is from RNAcentral.